GACGUAGGGCGCGAGCGUUGUCCGGAUUUAUUGGGCGUAAAGAGCUCGUAGGCGGCUUGUCGCGUCGGCUGUGAAAACCCGUGGCUCAACUGUGGGCGGGCAGCUGAUACGGGCAGGCUGGAGUUCGGUAGGGGAGACUGGAAUUCCUGGUGUAGCGGUGAAAUGCGCAGAUAUCAGGAAGAACACCCGUGGCGAAGGCGGUUCUCUGGGACGGUACUGACGCUGAGACGCGAAAGCGUGGGGAGCGAACAGG
RNAcentral lists this ribosomal RNA (253 nucleotides) under uncultured bacterium. RNAcentral's name for it is "partial 16S ribosomal RNA". It matches the Rfam family "Bacterial small subunit ribosomal RNA", at positions 524 to 776 of the family's 1533-position model. The record is from RNAcentral.